UACAGAGACUGCAAGCGUUAUUCGGAUUCACUGGGCGUAAAGGGUGCGCAGGCGGCCGUGUGUGUCAGGUGUGAAAUCCCGGGGCUUAACCCCGGAACUGCGCCUGAAACUACACGGCUAGAGUAUUGGAGAGGGUAGCGGAAUUCCCAGUGUAGCGGUGAAAUGCGUAGAUAUUGGGAGGAACACCAGUGGCGAAGGCGGCUACCUGGACCGGUUCUGACGCUGAGGCGCGAAAGCGUGGGUAGCAAACAGG
RNAcentral lists this ribosomal RNA (253 nucleotides) under uncultured prokaryote. Its description in RNAcentral is "partial 16S ribosomal RNA". It matches the Rfam family "Bacterial small subunit ribosomal RNA", at positions 524 to 776 of the family's 1533-position model. The record is from RNAcentral.